RNAcentral lists this ribosomal RNA (419 nucleotides) under uncultured bacterium. RNAcentral's name for it is "partial 16S ribosomal RNA". It matches the Rfam family "Bacterial small subunit ribosomal RNA", at positions 360 to 776 of the family's 1533-position model. The record is from RNAcentral.
AAUAUUGGUCAAUGGAGGCAACUCUGAACCAGCCAAGUCGCGUGAAAGAUGACGGUCUUAUGGAUUGUAAACUUCUUUUGCAGGGGAAUAAAUAGCGGUACGUUUACCGUUUUGCAUGUACCCUGCGAAUAAGGAUCGGCUAACUCCGUGCCAGCAGCCGCGGUAAUACGGAGGAUCCGAGCGUUAUCCGGAUUUAUUGGGUUUAAAGGGUGCGCAGGCGGGAGAUUAAGUCGGCGGUGAAAUUUUGCAGCUCAACUGUAAAAGUGCCUUCGAUACUGGUUUCCUUGAGUGCGGAUGAAGUAGGCGGAAUUUGUGGUGUAGCGGUGAAAUGCUUAGAUAUCACGAGGAACUCCGAUUGCGCAGGCAGCUUACUAAACCACUACUGACGCUCAGGCACGAAGGCGUGGGGAUCAAACAGG